RNAcentral lists this long non-coding RNA (919 nucleotides) under Salmo salar (Atlantic salmon). Its description in RNAcentral is "lncRNA (ENSSSAG00000086015.1)". Lineage: Eukaryota; Metazoa; Chordata; Actinopteri; Salmoniformes; Salmonidae. The record is from RNAcentral.
GGCCGGGCUAGGCCGUCAUUAUAAAUAAGAAUUUGUUCUUAACUGACUUGCCUAGUUAAAGGUUAAAUUAGAUGUUUUUAUAAAAGACAGAAGAACUUUGUCUAGAAUAACUGCCUGAGCUGCAAAAUAGAAAGUCAAUAUGAUUUAGACUAGGUCUAUUCUGCUGUCUAAAUAGGUCUAUUCCGCUGUCUAAAUAGGUCUAUUCCGCUAUCUAAAUGGGCCUAUUCCGCUAUCUAAAUGGGCCUAUUCCGCUAUCUAAAUGGGCCUAUUCCGCUAUCUAAAUCGGCCAUGCUGUUGUGUGUUAUGUAACAUAUACUGCUCCAAAAAAUAAAGGGAACACUUAAACAACACAUCCUAGAUCUGAAUGAAUGAAAUAAUCUUAUUAAAUAUUUUUUUGUUUACAUAGUUUAAUGUGCUGACAACAAAAUCACACAAAAAGAAUCAAUGGAAAUCCAAUUUAUCAACCCAUGGAGGUCUGGAUUUGGCGUCACACUCAAAAUUAAAGUGGAAAACCACACUACAGGCUGAUCCAACUUUGAUGUAAUGUCCUUAAAACAAGUCAAAAUGAGGCUCAGUAGUGUGUGUGGCCUCCACGUGCCUGUAUGACCUCCCUACAACGCCUGGGCAUGCUCCUGAUGAGGUGGCGGAUUGUCUCCUGAGGGAUCUCCUCCCAGACCUGGACUAAAGCAUCCGCCAACUCCUGGACAGUCUGUGGUGCAACGUGGCGUUGGUGGAUGGAGCGAGACAUGAUGUCCCAGAUGUGCUCAAUUGGAUUCAGGUCUGGGGAACGGGCGGGCCAGUCCAUAGCAUCAAUACCUUCCUCUUGCAGGAACUGCUGACACACUCCAGCCACAUGAGGUCUAGCAUUGUCUUGCAUUAGGAGGAACCCAGGGCCAACCGCACCAGCAUAUGGUCUCAC